Molecule: ribosomal RNA, 505 nt
Filed under: uncultured bacterium
Lineage: Bacteria
Description: partial 16S ribosomal RNA
Rfam family: Bacterial small subunit ribosomal RNA
Source: RNAcentral
GACGAACGCUGGCGGCGUGCCUAAUACAUGCAAGUAGAACGCACAGUUUAUACCGUAGCUUGCUACACCAUAGACUGUGAGUUGCGAACGGGUGAGUAACGCGUAGGUAACCUGCCUGGUAGCGGGGGAUAACUAUUGGAAACGAUAGCUAAUACCGCAUAAUAUUAAUUAUUGCAUGAUAAUUAAUGGAAAGGUGCAAUUGCACCACUACCAGAUGGACCUGCGUUGUAUUAGCUAGUAGGUGAGGUAACGGCUCAACUAGGCGAAGAUACAUAGCCGACCUGAGAGGGUGGUCGGCCACACUGGGACUGAGACACGGCCCAGACUCCUACGGGAGGCAGCAGUAGGGAAUCUUCGGCAAUGGACGAAAGGCUGACCGAGCAACGCCGCGGGAGUGAAGAAGGUUUUCGGAUCGUAAAGAUCUGUUGUAAGAGAAGAACGGGUGUGAGAGUUGAAAGUUCACACUGUGACGGUAUCUUACCAGAAAGGGACGGCUAACUACGUG